UCCUCGUCCCACCCCACCACCAACAACAGGGAAAGAAAAAAAAACUUGCACACUCCGAGAGCUCAACUGUGCAUGCACUUUUCUAUUUCGUGCUUGUAGAUGUUAUGGGAAAGUUGUCUCUCUCCCUACAUUUCUCUCCCUCUCCCCGUGACUCCCUCCUUCUCAUUCUCUUCGUCUAUCAUGUGCUUAGGAUAUGCUCAUGCCUUUCACAGAAUAGCUGUGGCUAAACUAGGCUACUGAGUGUUAGCGGCAAUUUUAAAGUGAUGCCCCCCAAUCAAAUGAUACGGCUGGGAUAUUUGAGAGGGACACAUACCACAUCACGGUACGCACGGAACCAACUAAAUACCGCUGUUCCUCUCCUGCUUGGGACGCUUUCUGAUCGAUUGCAGUGAUGUGACUCACCUUUAGGAACUGUGGAGGACUGCAGGCAGCAGGAACUAGACGUCAACGCAAGAUCUCGGGGAUUUUGCUCUACACUGUACCCACAUGAGGUUGGAUGGAGCUCUCGUAGAUCGUGACCCAGAAACAAAUGGCAUAAUGACUGGAGUCCCCAGACUGAAGAUGUCAAAGCAUAUUCAGCUGAUCUCAGAGGCAAAUGCAUUGACCUGAUCAGGAGCCUGAAUUUCAUAAAGCCAGGAGCUUCCAGUCAUAAACCUCAGGUGUUCUAGGAACUUCAUAUCACUCCCUGUGACACUUGACCUGCACUGUACACUUUAUUUCUGUAUUUCUGUCAACUGGUUGUAAAAGAUUGUUGACCAACCUGAAAAUACACUUCACAAUGACUUGGAAAUAGUCAUUUCUCUGACUUUGCACUAUAGGCAUCAAUGCCUUUUCAAAAUUUUUUAUAUGAGAAUAUUUCCAAAAUAAGUUGAAAAUAUUCUAAACAAUGAAAGUAUUUAUUUAAUGUAAUUGAGACUAACAAGUACAUUUUCUGAUGGCAAAAUAAAAGUAACUAAGUGAUUUUUUUAAGUGUGAGUUAUUUCCUCCUUUCUGUGCAGUGACUUGGCUCUUCAGGUAAAAUAAAAAAUGUGCUUGACAUCAUUGGGUCCUAUUUGGGUAUGAAAAGAGCAUGUAUGCUGAUAAAAACUUGCAGGGUAACCAAAGCACCAUGCUUCCUGGUCAAAAUCAUACACCUGACACGGCUGUAGCUUGUCCAGACAGACUUACAAAAUGUGGAGGACUCAGAUUUUAGACAUUCUGCAUUGUGCACAGUUUUUGGUGUACCAGUGAAUGCGCAAAAUAUGAAACAACUACUGACAACAAGAAUGAUUAUCUGCUAAUUAUCAGCACAUGAUAUACCGCACUGUACACCAACCUAGUUGACUAGAAGCAAACUGUGCUACCUCUUAAUGCCCAUGCUGCAUGCCAGGUUUGUUUUUGGAAUCUUACUUUGUGUUUUGCACUGUAACAAGAAUAAUCAAAAGUAGGACUCAUAACUCCAUCUGAUCAAUUGUUUCUUAGAGGGGAAAACCUCAUUUUCACCCUUUGUAUCCCUCAUUACUCUCCAGUCAUUUUUAUGUGCCCCUCUAUUUUUUCUUCCCCUUCCUAAUCAUAUUAAUUCUCUCUGUCCCUCUUUAUUUAACAUUA
Molecule: long non-coding RNA, 1587 nt
Organism: Monopterus albus (swamp eel)
Lineage: Eukaryota; Metazoa; Chordata; Actinopteri; Synbranchiformes; Synbranchidae
Exons: 4
Source: RefSeq, a predicted model, not a curated record